Molecule: transfer RNA, 65 nt
Filed under: Dipodomys ordii (Ord's kangaroo rat)
Lineage: Eukaryota; Metazoa; Chordata; Mammalia; Rodentia; Heteromyidae
Rfam family: tRNA
About the family: Transfer RNA (tRNA) molecules are approximately 80 nucleotides in length.
Source: Rfam by way of RNAcentral
GGUGGCUCAAUGGUAGAGUGUUUGCCUUGCAUGCAUGAAGCCCUGGGUUUGAUUCCUCAGCACCA